AUGAACGCUGGCGGCGUGUUUAAGGCAUGCAAGUCGAGCGACGUGUUCCCGCAAGGGAAUUACGAGCGGCAAACGGGUGAGUAACACAUUGGUAACCUACCUUGAAGACAGGGAUAGCUCGCCGAAAGGCGGAUUAAUACCUGAUGGCAAUGCGGGGACGCAAGUCAUUCGCAUUUAAAGCCGCAAGGCGCUUCAAGAGGGGCCUAUGGCCUAUCAGCUAGUUGGCGGGGUAAAAGCCCACCAAGGCAACGACGGGUAGCAGGCGUGAGAGCGCGGUCUGCCUCACUGGGACUGAGAUACUGCCCAGACACCUACGGGUGGCUGCAGUCAAGAAUAUUCCACAAUGGGGGAAACCCUGAUGGAGCGACGCCGCGUGCAGGAUGAAGGCCUUCGGGUCGUAAACUGCUUUUGCAGGGGACGAAUUAUUGACGGUACCCUGAGAAUAAGAGGUUGCUAACUCUGU
Molecule: ribosomal RNA, 463 nt
Filed under: uncultured bacterium
Lineage: Bacteria
Description: bacterial SSU rRNA
Rfam family: Bacterial small subunit ribosomal RNA
Source: RNAcentral